Long non-coding RNA from Portunus trituberculatus (swimming crab), 2592 nucleotides. RefSeq lists it as uncharacterized. The transcript has 10 exons. Lineage: Eukaryota; Metazoa; Arthropoda; Malacostraca; Decapoda; Portunidae. The record is from RefSeq and is a predicted model, not a curated record.
ACCCAUGCACACCCACACCCACACACACACACACACACACACACACACACACACACACACACACACACAUAAAUUCAAGAGUUGCUAUAUUACCGACAGUUUUCAAGAAGCACCAGCAGGAAGAGACGUAGUGGCAAGCCUUCACCGCAACACUCCACACUGCCUAAUCUUCGUCUAUUAAAGGCUCAGACGCGUGGAUGGAAGGAGUAGGAGGAAGACGAAGGAGUAUCAAUGGAGAAGGAUGAAGAAAAAAUGAGAAAUAAAGGUGGAAUAGGAGAAGAAGCCAAGGUGUAAUAUUUAGGUGACGACAGGCAGAAUGAGGUGGACGUGGCGGAGGCUGUGGGCGGUCAAUUCACGGCGCAGAUAACCUACACUUUGCACCACGCUGACUGCCCGCCCCUGUUCACUAAAGUCGGGCAAGCCUUUAUCUCCGUGUUCUGCCCUGGGUAUAGGAGUAAAAGUGGAAUAGUGGCAGAGUUGCAGACGACCCCCGCACGGAAGUGCAACAACAAUCAGUCAGUCAGUCAAUCACUCAGUCAGUUCUUCCACAGUGCUGGCAGUGGCAUACCUAAGCAGCGCAUGUGGGACGGCAUCAAUGAUUGCUGCAGUAACGGAGAGGAUGAGUUUGUGCAGCUGUGUGGCAUUGAGGAGUGUCGGGAGAAGAAUGUAGGGUGUGUGUGAGUCUGUUUACAUCAACACUCGAGAGUCAUACUUCUGCCAGUGCCGGCCAUGCAGGGUACAGACUCGUGUCGGAAAGUUCAAGUGUGAAGACGUUGACGAGUGCGUGGAGUCGCCCAGAUCUUCUCCCUGUGGACCAUCCCCUCAGCAGUGUUCGAUCCGCCCAGCAGCAGCAACGGUCAUGAGAAGGCGGUCAUUGAAGUGUCAAGUCCCCAAGCUGGCACGGUGGUGGGUGUUGUGUUAGGCUCCCUUAGGGUUCUUUCCCUAGCUGUUGGGUGUACAGAUGUUUGUUGGGUUCCUGAAGAUGCGUCGACGUGUUAUCAUCCACGCAAGCUUCCCCAACCCAGCCAGUGUACCACAAGACAACAGGCAUUGAGGAGGACGGGAGGCAGGCAUUGAGAAGGACGGGAGGAGGGAGCGAGCGGCUGCAUGCACUAUUGAACGGGACGGUAUUGUAUGAAUCGGUACUACUAACGCCAAAGAAGUGAGGGAAGUGUUUGGAUCGAGCGUGCAAGACGUACAACAGACACCAGACUGCUACUGCCGGUGUAGCCAAAGGAACAAGAGGAGGCAGAGGAGGAGGAGGAGGAAGAAGAAGAGGAACAAGAGAGUGAUUCUUGGAGACGUACCAAUGAAGUUCUGAAGAGACGGCCAACCCGUCAGGAAGUCAACUGAUCACGCAGGGACGCCAAAGAACGCCUGACUCCCGAUCUUUCUAAGAUUUCUGAUUGGGGCAGAGACAAUCUAGUAGUUUUCAAUGCCUCAAAAACUCAAUUCCUCCAUCUAUCAACUCAACACAACCUUUCAGACAGACGUUGACGGGUGCGUGUAGUCGCCCAGAUCCUCUCCCUGUGGAACCAUCCCCUCAACAGUGUUCGAUCCGCCCAGCAGCAGCAACGGUCAGGAGAAGGCGGUCAUUGAAGUGUCAAGUCCCCAAGCUGGCAUGGUGGUAGGUGUUGUGCUGGGCUCCCUUGGGGUUCUUUGUCUAGCUGUUGGGGUAAGUCAAAUAGUUUUUCACUCCUUUAUGCUCUGGGGUCUUGCUGUGUAUGUCUUUUUGCUGUGUUGUUCUGUGGCUAAGAUCUCGUAAUUAAGAUGUGCAUGUGAUUUCUCCAAAAUUUAAACAGUUCCCAAAUCAUUCUUGACACAUUGAAAAUAUUCCAAUACUGUAUAGUUAUUCGACUCAUACUUCAGAGGAUUUUUAUUUAUCUUUUUUUUUCUCACUUGCAACAUUUUUACUCUAAAGACGUUUGUCAAGUUGUUGAAGAUUCGUCGACGUGUUAUCAUUGUACCACACGGGCUGGGAUUUUCAUUGAAGGAAAAGUCUCUUCCAAGUCAAUUUUACAUAUAUUUCAAAUAUAGUAAAGUACAUUCGAACAAAAAACGAUGAAAGUGACUCGGCACUCUGAACCAACAACAGAGAAACACGAGAGGCACCCUUAACACACUCUCCCACUUGAAUACACCACUUAACUCCACAUAAUGACACCCUCGAUUAUAUUAACACGAAACUCCGCUGCCCUGAUCACAUUACCCACCUGAUCAGAGACCUUCGCUCACCGUGACGCGUCCACACCCCACCAAUGUUCGAGUAGAGAGUGCCACUCCCUUCUUCCGAGAUCGCGUCCUUUCCUGCCCCACACUCAAAUCUACUGCCCCGCGUGCCAAUUCACGCAAUGUUAAAUACCCUGCCUUCCUUAUUCUAUUCCUCCGUAUACAUGUUGUAGUACACUUCAUGCUAACACUAAUAUUUCUACCAUGCUCAACAUUCCAGAAUCCCUACUCAUAAAGUUCCUCCGCUCGUAUUAAUUAUGGGUUUGGUACGGCAGUUUUCUUCCUUAGGCCUACAGAGCCACCCACGCAAACCCGAUCCACCUUGGCUCUCCUUAAUAUACCAUACUUAUCGUUACAUCAUCC